Molecule: non-coding RNA, 495 nt
Organism: Apodemus sylvaticus (European woodmouse)
Lineage: Eukaryota; Metazoa; Chordata; Mammalia; Rodentia; Muridae
Source: the annotation of a RefSeq genome assembly
AAUGUUCCCCUCUGCUCAUGAAAAGCAGCCAUGAUCCUAGAGCUCUGACAGAGGCACCUAACUCUAGACUCACAAAUCUUUCCAUUCAGUGAUCAACACGGAUUCACAUUCACGAUGGAUUUGAGACAGAACUGUGUUUUUAUUGUUCUUAUUUUAAAAGUGGUGCAGUGUGAAGUGAAUCUGGAGGAGUCUGGAGGAGGAUUGGCGCAACCUGAAGGGUCCAUGAAACUCUCUUGUGCAGGCUCUGGGUUCACUUUCAGUGAUGCCUGGAUGGACUGGGUGCGCCAGACUCCCACGAAGGGGCUGGAGUGGAUUGCUGGAAUUAGAAACAAAGCUAAUAAUUAUGCAACAAAUUAUGCGGAUUCUGUGAAAGGCAGAUUCACUAUCUCAAGAGAUGAUUCCAAAAGUAGUGUCUACCUACAAAUGAACAGCUUAAGAUCUGAAGAUACUGGCAUUUAUUACUGUACGGGGCACAAUGAGAAGCCUUCAUUGUGA